UUCAGUUCUUCCUUGCCGGUUAUUAAUGUGUGUUUGUUAAACCUAUGUUAAACCUGUGUGCUUUUGUCAUCAUCUUCUGGAUUUCCAUUAAAUGAUAUUAUUAUUAUCAUAGACUUUAUCAUCUUGAUGGCAGCAGCGUGACAGAAUAACUGGCCUACAAAAGUAGAGAUCACUCCCUUGAGGACCACACUAGAGACCUUGUGGAUAUUUCAACUUUAAUCCACUACCCGGACAGCAGCCUCUGCUUUUUCUUCAUCUCAGGACUGAACAACACUGCAAAGGCAAAACGCUCAAUGGAAGGUCCUCAAGGGUACUCCUCCACGUUUGUGGGGUGGGUGCGUGGACUGUAGUUGAAAACUUCUGCUCUACAUCACCCUGGCUUAUGGGCUCUCCGUCUCCAACUCGGUCUCCUCUCCCACCUGUAUAUCAGAUGUUAAACCCUUUGAAGGGAUGAGCUAUUCUGAAUGGAAUUCAGGGCCUGUGUGUUAUUGUCUUAAUUUUCUGGAUUUCCAUUAAAGGAUAUUAUCAUCAUC
Carassius gibelio (silver crucian carp) is the source of this 533-nucleotide long non-coding RNA. RefSeq lists it as uncharacterized. NCBI's taxonomy places the organism in Eukaryota, Metazoa, Chordata, Actinopteri, Cypriniformes, Cyprinidae. The record is from RefSeq and is a predicted model, not a curated record. The transcript is spliced from 2 exons.